UACGAGUGCCCCGAGCGUUAUCCGGAAUUAUUGGGCGUAAAGGGUGCGUAGGUGGUAUUAUUAGUCUCAUGUUAAAGCCUUCAGCUCAACUGAAGAAUCGCAUGGGAAACGGUAGUACUAGAGGAUGUGAGAGGUGUGUAGAACUCAUGGAGUAGGGGUAAAAUCCGUUGAUAUCAUGGGGAAUACCAAAAGCGAAGGCAGCACACUGGCACACUCCUGACACUGAAGCACGAAAGCGUGGGUAGCGAAUGGG
RNAcentral lists this ribosomal RNA (253 nucleotides) under uncultured bacterium. RNAcentral's name for it is "partial 16S ribosomal RNA". It matches the Rfam family "Bacterial small subunit ribosomal RNA", at positions 524 to 776 of the family's 1533-position model. The record is from RNAcentral.